Molecule: ribosomal RNA, 1459 nt
Filed under: uncultured Bordetella sp.
Lineage: Bacteria; Pseudomonadati; Pseudomonadota; Betaproteobacteria; Burkholderiales; Alcaligenaceae
Description: partial 16S-23S ribosomal RNA intergenic spacer
Rfam family: Bacterial small subunit ribosomal RNA
Source: RNAcentral
UUUGAUCAUGCCUGAUUGAACGCUGGCGAUGUGUUUUUAUACAGCAAGUCGAAUUCAGGGCACGACUUCCUUGCGUCUGGUAAGGAGUAGUGAAUGGGUGGAGAGUAAUGUAUCGGAACGCCUAGUAGCGGGGGAUAACUACGCGAAAGCGUAGCUUGUUGCUCAGCACACAACCCUUCGGGGGAAAGCGGGGGGACUCGGGCCUCGCACUAUUAGAGCGGCCGAUAUCGGAUUAGCUAGUUGGUGGGGUAAACGGCCACUGGCGACGAUCCGUAGCUGGUUUGAGAGUGACGACCAGCCACACUGGACUGAGACACGGCCUUGACUCGCCGGAGGCAGCAGUGGAAUUUUGGAUAUUGGGAAACCUGAUCCGAAAGCUAUCCGGUGUGUGAUGAAGUGCGCCUCGGUUGUAAAGCACUUUGGCAGGAAAGAAAACGGCACGGAUAAUACUUCGUGCAACUGACGGUACCUGCAGAAUAAGCACCGGCUAACUACGUGCCAGCAGCCGCGGUAAUGUAGGGUGCAAGCGUUAAUCGGAAUUACUGGGCGUAAAAGCGUGCGCAGGCGGUUCGGAAAGAAAGAUGUGAAAUCAGAGCUUAACUUUGGAACUGCAUUUUAACUACCGAGCUAGAGUGUGUCAGAGGGAGGUGGAUUCCGCGUGUAGCAGUGAAAUGCGUAGAUAUGCGGAGGAACACCGAUGGCGAAGGCAGCCUCCUGGGAUAACACUGACGCUCAUGCACGAAAGCGUGGGAGCAAACAGGAUUAGAUACCCUGGUAGUCCACGCCCUAAACGAUGUCAACUAGCUGUUGGGGCCUUCGGGCCUGGUAGGCGCAGCUAACGCGUGAAGUUGACCGCCCGGGGAGUACGGUCGCAAGACAAAACUCCAAAGUGAAUUGAUUUGGACCCGCCGCUGUGGACAUGGAUUAAUUCGAUGCAACGCGAAAAACCUUACCUACCCUUGACAUGUUCAAUCCUGUGAGAUUUGGGAGUUUCGCAAGAGAACCGGAACACAGGUGCUGCAUGGCUGUCGUCAGCUCGUGUCGAGAUGCUGGGUUAAGUCCCGCAACGAGCGCAACCCUUGGUCAUUAGUUGCUACGAAAGGGCACUCUAAUGAAUGUUGCAGCAAACCUGAGGGUGUAGACGAUCGCCAGUCCUCAUGGUCUUGCGGUAGGGCUUCACACGUCAUACAAUGGUCGGGACAGAGGGUCGCCAACCCGCGAGGGGGAGCCAAUCCCAGAAACCCGAUCGUAGUCCGAUCGCAGUCUGCAACUCGACUGCGUGAAGUCGGAAUCGCUAGUAAUCGCGGAUCAGCAUGUCGCGGUGAAUACGUUCCUGGUCUUGUACACACCGCCCGUCACACAUGGGAGUGGGUUUUAACAGAAGUAGUUAGCCUAACCGUGAAGAGGGUGAUUAACACGGUAGGGAUUCGGCGACUGGGGUGAAGUCGUAACAAGGUAG